CCUACGGGCGGCAGCAGUAGGGAAUUUUGCGCAAUGGGCGAAAGCCUGACGCAGCAACGCCGCGUGAUUGAUUAAGCCCUUCUGGGUGUCAAGAUCUGUCAGUAGGGACGAAACUUUACGGUACCCAGCGCUGCCGCACCGGCUAACUCCGUUCCCGCAGCCUCGUUAAUACGGAGGGUGCAAGCGUUGUCCGGCUGCAUUGGGCUUAAAGAGUGCGUAGGUGGUAUAUUAAGUCUGGGGUUAAAUGCAGAGGCUCAACUUAUGGUCUGCACUUGAUACUGGUAAGCUUGAAUGAGGUAGAGGUAAACGGAAUGACGGGUGUAGCGGUGAAAUGCGUAGAUAUCAGGAGGAACACCGGUGGCGUAAGCGCUUUACUGGGCCGUAAUUGACACUGAGGAACGAAAGCCGGGGUAGCAAAUGGGAUUAGAUACCCGUGUAGUC
Molecule: ribosomal RNA, 441 nt
Filed under: uncultured bacterium
Lineage: Bacteria
Description: partial 16S ribosomal RNA
Rfam family: Bacterial small subunit ribosomal RNA
Source: RNAcentral